Molecule: long non-coding RNA, 332 nt
Organism: Austrofundulus limnaeus
Lineage: Eukaryota; Metazoa; Chordata; Actinopteri; Cyprinodontiformes; Rivulidae
Exons: 3
Source: RefSeq, a predicted model, not a curated record
CAGAAGACCUAUAUGAUUUUUUUCUUUUUUGUUUUUUACCUGGAUUACUGAGAUGCAUCAGGACAUUUUGCAUUAACAAGUAGUUAAUCUGUUAUUAGUAAGAUGAAUACAAAUAUUGAUCUAUUUAACUUCAGAUAGAUCUUCACCUGGAGCAGCUUGGCAGGACRGACUGGGUCUUUGUUCAGAUGAGUGGACACAGCCACUGUGAAGAUUGAAAUUCACCAACUUAGACCUCUUAAAGGAGAUGAUCUCCAAAGGCCUACAGGUGUCGAUGUGUGCAGCCUGCAGACCACCUGGGUCCAGACCGCCCCUCAGAUUGGGUGAGUUGAUGC